UGGGGAAUAUUGCACAAUUGGCGCAAGCCUGAUGCAGCCAUGCCGCGUGUAUGAAGAAGGCCUUCGGGUUGUAAAGUACUUUCAGCGGGGAGGAAGGGAGUAAAGUUAAUACCUUUGCUCAUUGACGUUACCCGCAGAAGAAGCACCGGCUAACUCCGUGCCAGCAGCCGCGGUAAUACGGAGGGUGCAAGCGUUAAUCGGAAUUACUGGGCGUAAAGCGCACGCAGGCGGUUUGUUAAGUCAGAUGUGAAAUCCUCGGGCUCAACCUGGGAACUGCAUCUGAUACUGGCAAGCUUGAGUCUCGUAGAGGGGGGUAGAAUUCCAAGUAUAGCGGUGAAAUGCGUAGAGAUCUGGAGGAAUACCGGUGGCGAAGGCGGCCCCCUGGACAAAGACUAACGCUCAGGUGCGAAAGCGUGGGGAGCAAACAGG
This 429-nucleotide ribosomal RNA is filed under the name Chloroflexota bacterium. RNAcentral describes it as "Chloroflexi bacterium partial 16S ribosomal RNA". It matches the Rfam family "Bacterial small subunit ribosomal RNA", at positions 355 to 776 of the family's 1533-position model. The record is from RNAcentral. Lineage: Bacteria; Bacillati; Chloroflexota.